CGCUAGUAAUCGCGAAUCAGAAUGUCGCGGUGAAUACGUUCCCGGGUCUUGUACACACCGCCCGUCACACCAUGGGAGUCGGAAAUGCCCGAAGUCAGUGACCCAACCGCAAGGAGGGAGCUGCCGAAGGCAGGUCCGGUAACUGGGGUGAAGUCGUAACAAGGUAUC
RNAcentral lists this ribosomal RNA (168 nucleotides) under uncultured bacterium. RNAcentral's name for it is "partial 16S ribosomal RNA". It matches the Rfam family "Bacterial small subunit ribosomal RNA", at positions 1333 to 1500 of the family's 1533-position model. The record is from RNAcentral.